CCUACGGGUGGCAGCAGUGGGGAAUAUUGGACAAUGGGGGGAACCCUGAUCCAGCCAUGCCGCGUGUGUGAAGAAGGCCCUCGGGUUGUAAAGCACUUUCAGUGAGGAAGAACGCCUGGUGGUUAAUACCCAUCAGGAAAGACAUCACUCACAGAAGAAGCACCGGCUAACUCCGUGCCAGCAGCCGCGGUAAUACGGAGGGUGCGAGCGUUAAUCGGAAUUACUGGGCGUAAAGCGCGCGUAGGUGGCUUGAUAAGCCGGUUGUGAAAGCCCCGGGCUCAACCUGGGAACGGCAUCCGGAACUGUCAAGCUAGAGUGCAGGAGAGGAAGGUAGGAUUCCCGGUGUAGCGGUGAAAUGCGUAGAGAUCGGGAGGAAUACCAGUGGCGAAGGCGGCCUUCUGGACUGACACUGACACUGAGGUGCGAAAGCGUGGGUAGCAAACAGGAUUAGAUACCCGUGUAGUC
This 465-nucleotide ribosomal RNA is filed under the name Vreelandella stevensii. RNAcentral describes it as "partial 16S ribosomal RNA". It matches the Rfam family "Bacterial small subunit ribosomal RNA", at positions 338 to 795 of the family's 1533-position model. The record is from RNAcentral. Lineage: Bacteria; Pseudomonadati; Pseudomonadota; Gammaproteobacteria; Oceanospirillales; Halomonadaceae.